CCUCGGAUCAGGUAGGGAUACCCGCUGAACUUAAGCAUAUCAAUAAGCGGAGGAAAAGAAACCAACCGGGAUUGCCUCAGUAACGGCGAGUGAAGCGGCAAAAGCUCAAAUUUGAAAGCUGGCCCCUCCGGGGUCCGCAUUGUAAUUUGCAGAGGAUGCUUCGGGUGCGGCCCCUAUCUAAGUGCCCUGGAAUGGGCCGUCGGAGAGGGUGAGAAUCCCGUCUGGGAUGGGGUGUCCGCGUCCAUGUGAAGCUCCUUCGACGAGUCGAGUUGUUUGGGAAUGCAGCUCUAAAUGGGUGGUAAAUUUCAUCUAAAGCUAAAUACUGGCCGGAGACCGAUAGCGCACAAGUAGAGUGAUCGAAAGAUGAAAAGCACUUUGAAAAGAGAGUUAAACAGCACGUGAAAUUGUUGAAAGGGAAGCGCUUGCGACCAGACUCGCCUGCGGGGUUCAGCCGGCAUUCGUGCCGGUGUACUUCCCCGUGGGCGGGCCAGCGUCGGUUUGGGCGGCCGGUCAAAGGCCUCCGGAAUGUAGUGCCCUUCGGGGCACCUUAUAGCCGGGGGUGCAAUGCGGCCAGCCUGGACCGAGGAACGCGCUUCGGCUCGGACGCUGGCAUAAUGGUCGUAAACGACC
Molecule: ribosomal RNA, 630 nt
Filed under: Aspergillus neoniveus
Lineage: Eukaryota; Fungi; Ascomycota; Eurotiomycetes; Eurotiales; Aspergillaceae
Description: eukaryotic LSU rRNA
Rfam family: Eukaryotic large subunit ribosomal RNA
Source: RNAcentral